ACACUUUUUUUUGCUGUUUGUGUUUUUUUUUCAAGAGCCGAGCACACCUGUCGACUGCUCUAAACAUCUCCCUUUUUCACAGAGGAAAAGAAGGAAGAAACGAGCAUAAACCCCAAACUCAGCAGAGCAGAGAGAAUGCAGCGCCCAGUUAUUCGUCGUCUGGGCAAUCGCUCAGCGUUUACCUUAGUCGCUGCUGUGGCUAGGUCCUCGCAGAUGCGAAGUGCUGUCCGUGUCCCUUCAGGAUCUCAUGCUCGCGUCAUCCCUUCUUUCAUGUGCUCGCUGCGAGCGUACUCCGGCAGCCACCACGAUGAACCGUCUUCCCGCAGUGGUCAGUACCUGCUUGACAAGAACGACGUCCUCACCCGUGUUUUGGAGGUAGUAAAGAACUUUGAGAAGGUCGAUGCCUCCAAGGUGACCCCUGAGUCACACUUUGUGAAGGAUCUGGGUUUGAACUCUCUCGAUGUAGUGGAGGUUGUGUUUGCGAUCGAACAAGAAUUUAUUCUAGACAUCCCGGAUCACGAUGCGGAGAAAAUCCAGUCCAUUCCCGACGCCGUCGAGUACAUUGCACAAAACCCCAUGGCCAAGUAAGUGGUGGAGGCGAACUGUUUUUGUUAAACCAGCGCUAUAUUCUCUUGCCCAAUCGGUAGUGGAAUCAUCGAGUGAAAGCUGUUCUUAGCAUCUUGAUUCCAAAGGGGAACAGUACAUAAGACGUGUGUCAUGAGACGUGUACACGAUUAUUUCUCUUAGGAUUUUUUAGUCGAAAUAGGUCCUUGUUGUGCCACCAUUAGCGUUCUCCGAGUGAGGUAAGCAGAAGUGCCGUGUGCGCGUGAAAGCAAUUUUCGCCCCUGCUCUUCAGCGUUGGUGUACUGCACUCAGAUAUCGUCUCACUUUUUCUUUGUUGCCCAAGGUGGGCAGUGAGGAGACGAUAGUGAGCACCUAUUUUGGACAUGACGUUCUCUUGUGUGCCCUCAUGUGGAGCAGGAGGCGCUUUCUUGUGUCUUUUUUUUCUACUUGUUCUCUGGUAAGCAAUGAUACCACUGUCUCCGUGUUGAAACACACCGGAUAGCUUGUAGCCUCACUGAGAGU
Molecule: unclassified non-coding RNA, 1086 nt
Filed under: Leishmania donovani
Lineage: Eukaryota; Euglenozoa; Kinetoplastea; Trypanosomatida; Trypanosomatidae
Description: gene:LdHU3.27.0370(CDS-product:Acyl_carrier_prote in_mitochondrial_putative)
Source: RNAcentral